CCUGGGCAUGUCAGUUUUGCUUUUUGCUAUUUACUUUCACCCUGGUUGGAGAAAUUGACAGCUGGUUCAUCCAAUUUACCUGUUAACUGUGGCUUAGAAACUUUCCUAAUAUUAAUAGAGGGCAUGUCAGAGCGAGCAUCUUAGGAUUCGAAAACUCAGGGCAGGGCCUGUAUGCCUGGGUUUUCUUUACCUCUGUCCAGAGACAGGCAAUGGGCAGGGAUGAUGGGAAGAGAGGCUAUGCUGGUAAAGAGUGGUUAAUUCCAGUCAGCCUAAAGUAGGAUGGGAUAUUUGACCACUAAUGUCUAGCUGCUCCAUCUAAGAGAGGGGACACCUUCACAUAACCAAGAAAGGACAAUAGGCACUGGAUGCUGGUUUUUUCUCUUUUUUUGAAUGGGAGCCACAUCCUCAAGCCUGGUGCAUGGCUCAAUAGCAACUCCUCUGACUUGUGCCGUGAAGAACUGGAAAAAUUUUGACCCUGAGACUCUGAAAAAGAAACAUUUAAUUUUCUUUUGCGCAAAACCCUGCUACUAUAUAAUCUGUCAGAUGGAAAGCAAUGGCCAUCUGAAGGCUCUCUAGCUUAUAAUACUAUUCUCCAAUGAGAUCUAUUUGGUAGAUGAGAAGGGGAAUGGUCAGAGGUGCCUUAUUAUGUCUUCUUUACAAUGAGGGAAGACACUACACUGAGGAAGGCUUGUGGACUUUCUCAGUACAUUAUGCCAACUCCCUCAAGACCUAGGUUCCCACUAUAUUCUGGCCCAACUGGGUCAGACCCUCCAGAAGUUAAUCAGCCUUCAAUACCACCCAAGGCUCCUCCUCUUCCCCCUCCAGUGCUAAAGUUAUAUCCCUCUCUACUCCCUUUACAAGAAGUGGCAAACGGAGAAUGGGGACCAAAUACAGGUCCAUAUGCCUAUUUAACUUCAGGACUUAAGGCAAAUAAAAACAGAUUUGGGAAAAUUUGCUGAUGACCCAGAUAUAUUGAGGUCUUUCAGGAUCUCAUACAGUCCUUUGAGUUAGCCUGGAAAGACGUCAUGUUAUUACUAAAACAGACAUUGACUAUAAGUGAAAAAAAAAAUGCAUAAAGUCUUUGAAACUGCUCAAAACUGGGGAAGAUGAAUGGAAUGAUGCUAUAAGUUCCAGAGGCAAAUUAGAAGAGAUAGAACAAGAUUCCCCACAGGGUGUCAGGCAGUUCCUGUGAGUGAUCCCAGUUGGUCUGCUGAUGAAGGAGAUAACCACAAUUGGCAUAGAAACAAUUUUAUUGCUUGUAUAGUUGAGGGAUUAAAAGCCUCAUGGGUAAAGCCCGUUAAAAAUUAUCAGAGGUUUACUAGGGGAACAAGAGAGUCCAUCAGCUUUCUUAGAAAGACUCAGAAAGGCAUUGAGAAAACCUACACCAAGGAACCCAGAAACAAUGGAGGGCUGAAUAAUUCUUAAGGAUAAAUUCGUAGCUCAAUCAGUGCUAGAUAUAUGGAGAAAGUUCCAAAAACUGGCUUUUGGUCCUGAUCAGGACCUGAAGCACCUCCUCAGAGUAGCAACUCAAGUAUGUUAUAAUCGGGCCCAGGAAGAAUGAAAGGAGAACAAGAAGAGAGACAGAGAAAAGGCUGAGGCUCUAGUUAUGGCACUACAGGGAGUCAACCUGGGAGCUUCCAAGGUAAGAGGACUAGGGCAGAGACCUACACCUGGAGCCUGUUUCCUCUGUGCAAAAGAGGGACCGUUUAAAUGGGAAUGCCCCAAGCCUCAGAUCACAGCACCUAGGCCAUGCCCCAUAUGUUGGGGAGAUCAUUGGAAGAGGGACUGUCCCUGAAGACUGAGGUCUCUGGGGUUGACCCCUCAGGCCCAGGAUCAAGACUGACCGGACAUUUCCAUAAUGGCUCCUGUCCUUAUCACCAUUCAGGAGCCCUGGGUGACUUUAAAUGUAUGAAGACAGCCUAUCAACUUCCUCCUGAAGUCCUCCUCUCCACUCCUGGGCCCCUCCCUCAUGAAUCUGCCACAUUCAUAUUUCUGGCAAGCCAGUUACAAAAAUUUUUACACAACCUUUGAGUUGUGACUGGGAAUCCAUUUUCUCUCAUGCCUUUCUGAUUGUUCCAGAGAGUCCAACUCCUCUUUUAGAAAGAGAUAUUUUUUGUAAGAGGUUAAAGCUUCAAUUCACAUGGCAAUGGAGGAUUUCCCAUCAUGGUGCAGCAGAAACAAAUCUGACUAGGAACCAUAAGGUUUCAGGUUCAAUCCCUGGCUUGGCUCAGUGGGUUGGGGAUC
This 2244-nucleotide long non-coding RNA is filed under the name Sus scrofa (pig). RNAcentral's name for it is "lncRNA (ENSSSCG00050008743.1)". The record is from RNAcentral. Lineage: Eukaryota; Metazoa; Chordata; Mammalia; Artiodactyla; Suidae.